This is a long non-coding RNA of Herpailurus yagouaroundi (jaguarundi), 840 nucleotides long. RefSeq lists it as uncharacterized. NCBI's taxonomy places the organism in Eukaryota, Metazoa, Chordata, Mammalia, Carnivora, Felidae. The transcript has 2 exons. The record is from RefSeq and is a predicted model, not a curated record.
AUAUUCUCGUUUUAUAGAUGUGUCUCAGAGAGGGCAAGCAACUUGCCCAGGACCACACAGCCCGGGUGUGAACCCGGUCUGUCCUUCCCCCAAAGUCCCUCGCCCCGCAGUUAGUCAGCUGGAGGAUCAAACCGGGAUCUCAGGCCCACUGCCUCCAGAGGCCUGUGGGAUUUCUUGUUCUAGAAGCCUGAGGUUCUUCACCUCUGGUCCCAGGAUGGAUGGUGGUAGGAAGAGAGGGGCAGAGAGGGGAGGGUGUUUCUGCCAACUUGCAAAAUUGUCUGCAAAAUGUCGCCUCGGCGUUUUCGGUGGGGGAGAGGAGCUGUGCUCGCAAGAGAGUCUCUAGAGGGACGUGAAGAACCUUAGUUCAAAACUUUGAGUGGAGGUAAAUCUGUUCCCGUCCCUCCCACCCAAGCCUCUGUCCCUAAGUGCAUGGCAACAGUGUGUCCCCAACCGACCCCUCCUCACAGCCUCCUCUUGGGGCAUAGAGGCAGCGGGCAGGUGGGAGGCCUGGAUACUGGGCUCGUCUAACUUGAACUAGCUGUGUGAUCUUGGCAAGCCCCGGGCACCAUCAGGGAGGACUCUUUGUAGCAAAGGCUAAAGCCUGCAGAUACGGCCGGGUCCAGGCUUCCGAGUGACAUCACCAGGGUCGGUCUCCCUCCACCCCUCUGGUCUACCUCAUGGGGGGGGGGGGCGGCUUUCAGCAGCGCUAGGCUUCACAUCCUUCCAAAUUGAAAAGUACAUACUGAAGCUCCAAGGGGACAUGCUCAAUGUCAUUAGAGAAAUGUAAAUCAAAGCCAUGAGAUGCCAUUUCGUAUCUAUGAAGUUGGUCAUAAAUAAAUU